UGCAUCUAAAGAUGUCUAAACCUCUUCAGGUGCCAGCAUCACCUUUUGACCAGUAUGUGAUGUCCAAAUUCCUGCAGAUCAGACCACAGGUCCUCAGGGGUUUUGAGAUAGUACUAAGCAUAGUGGUGUUUGCCUUAACAAUCUGGGAAGGAUUAUUUUACAUUUUGUGGGCUUCUAUCUUUUCAUUUUUAAUCGGAUCUUUGACGGUGUUAGCUGCACACAAACGUACCAUACCAUGGAUCAGAACCUCACAAUCUCUAAACUACCUCAGUGUCAUAACAUCUAUUUUCUCUCUCCCAUUUCAUGGGUUUGCAAAUGAUGGUGUGACUCUCAUUGUAUUGAUGGUCUGUGAUGCUCUGGUCGUCGUCUUCUCCAUUACUGUUGCCUCAACUUCCUGCUGCAGGCCGAAGCGAAGACCAGUUCAAAGGCAAUACAGAGCUAGGGUUUAUCACAUGAACAGUCCUCUACCUGUUGUGACUGUCAACAAUAUUGUGUAUGUGACUCAAUCAAACUCUGCUGCAACACCAACAAUCUUCAGUUCAGUUCAGUAUGGGCAGCCAUCAGAAUAUGGACCAGCCUUUUCCAGAUGACCCUAGGACUGAAGGACAGAAGAUGAUUGGGAUCCCAGCCAAAUUAUGAACUUAAUAGUUAAUUUAUAUUAUAUUAUACUUUUUUUUUUAUAUCUGUGGUAUUAUGCUAGUACUUACAUUAAAUGUAAAUGAGAAUGAAAUGUAAAAUACUUUUUUUACUGCUCAUGCAAAAUAUUCUGGUUUAAAAUCUCACAGUUUAACAUGUUGAGAUUGGGAGGAGCAUGUUUAUAUAACUUGUCCGUAGACUUCCAUUGUAGUUGCAGAUUUUUUAUAUUAGUCAUAAAAGUAAAACAUUUAUGCAAAAAUCAUCAUGCAAGUGCUUUCAAAUGUUUGUUAUUUUAUAGCAUUUUUUUCUGAACAGCAACUAGUGUUAUAAAUAAAGGAACACAUUUCUGCUUAUUGUUUACA
Molecule: long non-coding RNA, 998 nt
Organism: Cyprinus carpio (common carp)
Lineage: Eukaryota; Metazoa; Chordata; Actinopteri; Cypriniformes; Cyprinidae
Source: Ensembl